CUGAAGCGUCAGACACAUCUUUUCAACAUUCGUCUAUGGUAGAAAGCAAUUGCCUGAUCAUUUUGAUAGACAAACAACAGUCAAGAAUUCUUACUUUUUCUGUUUUCCACAAGUGUUGCACGUUUCAGGUUGAUCAUCAUUUUUGCACACAGAUGGAGAUGGAAAUAUUUCAGGUUGAUCAUCAUUUUUGCACACAGAUGGAGAUGUAAAUAUUUCAGGUUGAUCAUCAUUUUUGCACACAGAUGGAGAUGGAAAUAUUUCAGGUUGAUCAUCAUUUUUGCACACAGAUGGAGAUGGAAAUAUUUCAGGUUGAUCAUCAUUUUUGCACCCAGAUGGAGAUGGAAUCACCACAUCAGGACUCAUAAUGCAGUCAUCUCCAUUUGCAACAAUGACACAUGCAUCCAGCUCAACUCCUGCAGGGUCCCUCUUUCUUUUCAAAGGCAAGCCUAUGUUCGUAUCUAAGCUAGUUUUACUGAGAAGAAGCUUUUGUGUUUCUGAACUCUUUGGAGGUGAACCUAUAGCGUUUCCAUCCCCUGUUUCAACCAUCGGGGAUGCAUCAUCAGGCACCAUCUUUACUGUGUCCUUCACAGGUGGUGGACAAUCGGUGUUACCGUCUUGAGCAGCAUCAUCAUUGCUUGCAGGUAUGCGGCGAGAACAACCAACAACUACUAGUUCCUCAUCAUUUGAAGCAUUAACUAACGCCUCGGAUUUAUUAUUGAGCCUUCUAAACAAAGCUCUAAAACUCCGGGCUGACAUUAUAGGCUCCCGUUUCUUGAUUUCAUUUGUCGGCUCUUGUAAAUUGUUUCCCUUCAUAUCCUUCCUCUGCUGAAUAUUCAGAGGACUUGGUGUAUUUUUCUUCUCAAUUCGAGCAGACUUUCUCGAUACUGAAGCAGGUACGGGAGCCAGUCUCUCUG
Molecule: long non-coding RNA, 914 nt
Filed under: Capsella grandiflora
Lineage: Eukaryota; Viridiplantae; Streptophyta; Magnoliopsida; Brassicales; Brassicaceae
Description: long non-coding RNA (CGRA_LNC000427)
Source: RNAcentral